GGAAGUGAAACAUCUCAGUACCCUUAGGAAAAGAAAUCAAUUGAGAUUCCCUCAGUAGCGGCGAGCGAACGGGGAUCAGCCCAUUAAGUUAUGUGUGUUUUAGUGGAACGCUCUGGGAAGUGCGAACGUAGAGGGUGAUAUUCCCGUACACGAAAGGGCACACAUAAUGAUGACGAGUAGGGCGAGGCACGUGAAACCUUGUCUGAAUAUGGGGGGACCAUCCUCCAAGGCUAAAUACUCCUGACUGACCGAUAGUGAACCAGUACCGUGAGGGAAAGGCGAAAAGAACCCCUGUGAGGGGAGUGAAAUAGAUCCUGAAACCGCAUGCAUACAAGCAGUGGGAGCACCUUCGUGGUGUGACUGCGUACCUUUUGUAUAAUGGGUCAGCGACUUAUAUUCAGUAGCGAGGUUAACCGUAUAGGGGAGCCGUAGAGAAAUCGAGUCUUAAUAGGGCGUUUAGUUGCUGGGUAUAGACCCGAAACCAGGCGAUCUAUCCAUGAGCAGGUUGAAGGUUGGGUAACACUAACUGGAGGACCGAACCCACUGUCGUUGAAAAGCCAGGGGAUGACUUGUGGAUAGGGGUGAAAGGCUAAUCAAGCCUGGUGAUAGCUGGUUCUCCCCGAAAGCUAUUUAGGUAGCGCCUCGGACGAAUACCAUAGGGGGUAGAGCACUGUUUCGGCUAGGGGGUCAUCCCGACUUACCAAACCGAUGCAAACUCCGAAUACCUAUGAGUACUAUCCGGGAGACAGACUGCGGGUGCUAACGUCCGUAGUCAAGAGGAAAACAAUCCAGACCGCCAGCUAAGGCCCCAAAAUCAUAGUUAAGUGGGAAACGAUGUGGGAAGGCAUAGACAGCUAGGAGGUUGGCUUAGAAGCAGCCACCCUUUAAAGAAAGCGUAAUAGCUCACUAGUCGAGUCGGCCUGCGCGGAAGAUGUAACGGGGCUAAAA
This 948-nucleotide ribosomal RNA is filed under the name Acinetobacter baumannii. Its description in RNAcentral is "partial 23S ribosomal RNA". It matches the Rfam family "Bacterial large subunit ribosomal RNA", at positions 189 to 1186 of the family's 2925-position model. The record is from RNAcentral. Lineage: Bacteria; Pseudomonadati; Pseudomonadota; Gammaproteobacteria; Moraxellales; Moraxellaceae.